This 485-nucleotide long non-coding RNA is filed under the name Pan troglodytes (chimpanzee). RNAcentral describes it as "long non-coding RNA NONPTRT003356". The record is from RNAcentral. Lineage: Eukaryota; Metazoa; Chordata; Mammalia; Primates; Hominidae.
CUGGAAAUCAUCUUGACUGAAGACCACCAAUGGCAGCAGUUCAUUUGGGUACAGCAGCAAGCAUCAGUUAAAUACCUAUCAACAUAGCUGGGCUUGGCUUGCUAUCAGAGGAGGUGGAGAAUGUGCCUUCCUGAAUGACAAUGGAGUCAACAGUGGCAGAAUCUACAUGAACAGAAAAUGGAUUUGUAGCAAGCCAAACAAUUAUGUCUACAGUUGCCAGUUAUGUCCCCACUGGGAUACUACCUAGUAGAGCUGUGAGAAGAGGGCCACCAUCCUCCAGACUCCAGAAUGGUGGAAUCAUCAGCAGCUUCCACCAUGCCCCUGGAAAAACUGCAAGUAACAGACCUGCACAUGUAUCCCCUACAUCUAAAAUAAAAGUUGGAAAAAAUGGAACUUUAAUGUUAAGAUGCACUGAUACAAAACUUAAAUUUUGGUCUACUACAUUAAAACAAUAUGAGUCUCUUAAAAUAUUGAUUUGUUCUUAG